AUACCAAUAAAGACGCUUUUUCAAUCAAAAUCUGUUCUUAUCAGUUUAAUAUCUGAUACGCCCCCUAUCUGGGGGCCAUAUAUUAAAUGGAUUUUUAGAACAGGGAGAUGGAAGAAGAGCUUGCUCUGUCCACUCCACGCAUUGACCCGGUAUUGCAGUACCUCCGGGACCGGUGCACCUUUC
Molecule: small nuclear RNA, 183 nt
Organism: Pseudophryne corroboree (corroboree frog)
Lineage: Eukaryota; Metazoa; Chordata; Amphibia; Anura; Myobatrachidae
Product: U2 spliceosomal RNA
Exons: 1
Source: RefSeq, a predicted model, not a curated record